AGCGGAGCAUGUGGUUUAAUUCGAAGCAACGCGAAGAACCUUACCAAGAACUUGACAUCCCCUGACAGCUGUUGAAAGGCAGUGUCUCUUCGGAGCAGGGAGACAGGUGGUGCAUGGUUGUCGUCAGCUCGUGUCGUGAGAUGUUGGGUUAAGUCCCGCAACGAGCGCAACCCUUAUCCUUAGUUACCAGCACGUAAAGGUGGGGACCCUAGGGAGACCGCCGGGGACGACUCGGAGGAAGGUGGGGACGACGUCAAAUCAUCAUGCCCCUUAUGUCUUGGGCUACACACGUGCUACAAUGGCCGCAACAGAGGGAAGCGAGAGCGCAAGCUGGAGCAAAACCCUAAAAAGCGGUCCCAGUUCGGAUUGUGGGCUGCAACCCGCCCACAUGAAGUCGGAGUUGCUAGUAAUCGCGAAUCAGCAUGUCGCGGUGAAUGCGUUCCCGGGCCUU
This 451-nucleotide ribosomal RNA is filed under the name uncultured Lachnospiraceae bacterium. RNAcentral describes it as "bacterial SSU rRNA". It matches the Rfam family "Bacterial small subunit ribosomal RNA", at positions 931 to 1382 of the family's 1533-position model. The record is from RNAcentral. Lineage: Bacteria; Bacillati; Bacillota; Clostridia; Lachnospirales; Lachnospiraceae.